RNAcentral lists this ribosomal RNA (155 nucleotides) under uncultured bacterium. RNAcentral describes it as "partial 16S ribosomal RNA". It matches the Rfam family "Bacterial small subunit ribosomal RNA", at positions 355 to 507 of the family's 1533-position model. The record is from RNAcentral.
UAAGGAAUAUUGGUCAAUGGACGCAAGUCUGAACCAGCCAUGCCGCGUGAAGGAUGAAGGUCCUCUGGAUUGUAAACUUCUUUUAUAUGGGACGAAACCCGGGAAUUCCUUCCCGAUUGACGGUACCAUAAGAAUAAGCACCGGCUAACUCCGUG